Molecule: ribosomal RNA, 125 nt
Filed under: Ipomoea nil (Japanese morning glory)
Lineage: Eukaryota; Viridiplantae; Streptophyta; Magnoliopsida; Solanales; Convolvulaceae
Source: RNAcentral
AUUUUACAUGACGCGAUCAGUAAUGCACCGGAUCCCAUCAGAACUCCGAAGUUAAGCGUGCUUGGCGAGAGUAGUACUAGGAUGGGUGACCAAGCAUCUAAUGAACAACCGCGAAGUGUGUUUUC